CCUACGGGAUGCAGCAGUAGGGAAUCUUUCACAAUGGGCGAAAGCCUGAUGGAGCAACGCCGCGUGCAGGAUGAAGGCCUUCGGGUUGUAAACUGCUUUUAUAAGCGAGAAAUAUGAUGGUAACUUAUGAAUAAGGAUCGGCUAACUACGUGCCAGCAGCCGCGGUCAUACGUAGGAUCCGAGCAUUAUCCGGAGUGACUGGGUGUAAAGAGUUGCGUAGGUGGCAUAAUAAGUAGCUAGUGAAAUCUGGUGGCUCAACCAUUCAGACUAUUAGCUAAACUGUUAAGCUCGAGACCGUUAGGGGUAACUGGAAGUUCUAGUGUAGGAGUGAAAUCCGUAGAUAUUAGAAGGAACACCAAUAGCGUAGGCAGGUUGCUGGGACGGUUCUGACACUAAGGCACGAAAGCGUAGGGAGCAAACGGGAUUAGAUACCCCAGUAGUC
RNAcentral lists this ribosomal RNA (442 nucleotides) under uncultured bacterium. RNAcentral's name for it is "partial 16S ribosomal RNA". It matches the Rfam family "Bacterial small subunit ribosomal RNA", at positions 338 to 795 of the family's 1533-position model. The record is from RNAcentral.